RNAcentral lists this unclassified non-coding RNA (390 nucleotides) under uncultured Phycisphaeraceae bacterium. Its description in RNAcentral is "contains 16S-23S intergenic spacer region". The record is from RNAcentral. Lineage: Bacteria; Pseudomonadati; Planctomycetota; Phycisphaerae; Phycisphaerales; Phycisphaeraceae.
UCCGGUUUGACACCGGCAGUCCCGUUAGAGUGCGCCGAUCCGAAGACCGGUUGGCAACUAAAGGCAGGGGUUUCGCUCGUUAAGGGACUUAACCCGACACUUCACAGCACGAGCUGACGACAGCCAUGCAGCACCUGUGCACGUUCCACCCGUGAGGGCGUGGCUCCCCUUUCAGGGAGUUAAUCCGUGCAUGUCAAACCCAGGAUAAGGUUCUUCGCGUUGCUUCGAAUUAAGCCACAUGCUCCACCGCUUGUGUGAGCCCCCGUCAAUUCCUUUGAGUUUUAGCCUUGCGACCGUACUCCCCAGGCGGUGCACUUAUUGUUUUUACUUCGGUCCCGGUGGUGUCAGCACCUUCGAGACCUAGUGCACAUCGUUUACAGCGUGGACUAC